RNAcentral lists this ribosomal RNA (486 nucleotides) under uncultured Neisseria sp. RNAcentral's name for it is "bacterial SSU rRNA". It matches the Rfam family "Bacterial small subunit ribosomal RNA", at positions 30 to 503 of the family's 1533-position model. Lineage: Bacteria; Pseudomonadati; Pseudomonadota; Betaproteobacteria; Neisseriales; Neisseriaceae. The record is from RNAcentral.
AUUGAACGCUGGCGGCAUGCUUUACACAUGCAAGUCGGACGGCAGCACAGAGAAGCUUGCUUCUCGGGUGGCGAGUGGCGAACGGGUGAGUAACAUAUCGGAACGUACCGAGUAGUGGGGGAUAACUGAUCGAAAGAUCAGCUAAUACCGCAUACGUCUUGAGAGAGAAAGCAGGGGACCUUCGGGCCUUGCGCUAUUCGAGCGGCCGAUAUCUGAUUAGCUAGUUGGUGGGGUAAAGGCCUACCAAGGCGACGAUCAGUAGCGGGUCUGAGAGGAUGAUCCGCCACACUGGGACUGAGACACGGCCCAGACUCCUACGGGAGGCAGCAGUGGGGAAUUUUGGACAAUGGGCGCAAGCCUGAUCCAGCCAUGCCGCGUGUCUGAAGAAGGCCUUCGGGUUGUAAAGGACUUUUGUCAGGGAAGAAAAGGCUGUUGCUAAUAUCAGCGGCUGAUGACGGUACCUGAAGAAUAAGCACCGGCUAACUA